Molecule: ribosomal RNA, 301 nt
Filed under: uncultured bacterium
Lineage: Bacteria
Description: partial 16S ribosomal RNA
Rfam family: Bacterial small subunit ribosomal RNA
Source: RNAcentral
CAGCAGCCGCGGUAAGACAGAGGAUGCAAGCGUUAUCCGGAAUGAUUGGGCGUAAAGCGUCUGUAGGUGGCUUUUCAAGUCCGCCGUCAAAUCCCAGGGCUCAACCCUGGACAGGCGGUGGAAACUACCAAGCUAGAGUAUGGCAGAGGGGGGUGGAAUUCUACGUGUAGCAGUGAAAUGCGUAGAGAUGUGGAGGAACACCGAUGGCGAAGGCAGCCCCCCUGGGCCAAUACUGACGCUCAUGCACGAAAGCGUGAGGAGCAAACAGGAUUAGAUACCCCUGUAGUCCCUGUCUCUUAUA